CAAACCCAAUGUGAACCAUACCAAACUGUUGCCUCGGCGGGGUCACGCCCCGGGUGCGUCGCAGCCCCGGAACCAGGCGCCCGCCGGAGGGACCAACCAAACUCUUUUCUGUAGUCCCCUCGCGGACGUUAUUUCUUACAGCUCUGAGCAAAAAUUCAAAAUGAAUCAAAACUUUCAACAACGGAUCUCUUGGUUCUGGCAUCGAUGAAGAACGCAGCGAAAUGCGAUAAGUAAUGUGAAUUGCAGAAUUCAGUGAAUCAUCGAAUCUUUGAACGCACAUUGCGCCCGCCAGUAUUCUGGCGGGCAUGCCUGUCCGAGCGUCAUUUCAACCCUCGAACCCCUCCGGGGGGUCGGCGUUGGGGAUCGGGAACCCCUAAGACGGGAUCCCGGCCCCGAAAUACAGUGGCGGUCUCGCCGCAGCCUCUCCUGCGCAGUAGUUUGCACAACUCGCACCGGGAGCGCGGCGCGUCCACGUCCGUAAAACACCCAACUUCUGAAAUGUUGACCUCGGAUCAGGUAGGAAUACCCGCUGAACUUAAGCAUAUC
This 546-nucleotide ribosomal RNA is filed under the name cf. Trichoderma sp. 17/HC2. RNAcentral's name for it is "eukaryotic LSU rRNA". The stretch from base 170 to 323 matches the Rfam family "5.8S ribosomal RNA". The record is from RNAcentral. Lineage: Eukaryota; Fungi; Ascomycota; Sordariomycetes; Hypocreales; Hypocreaceae.